RNAcentral lists this ribosomal RNA (378 nucleotides) under Clostridioides difficile. Its description in RNAcentral is "bacterial SSU rRNA". It matches the Rfam family "Bacterial small subunit ribosomal RNA", at positions 1 to 388 of the family's 1533-position model. Lineage: Bacteria; Bacillati; Bacillota; Clostridia; Peptostreptococcales; Peptostreptococcaceae. The record is from RNAcentral.
UUAUUUGAGAGUUUGAUCCUGGCUCAGGAUGAACGCUGGCGGCGUGCCUAACACAUGCAAGUUGAGCGAUUUACUUCGGUAAAGAGCGGCGGACGGGUGAGUAACGCGUGGGUAACCUACCCUGUACACACGGAUAACAUACCGAAAGGUAUGCUAAUACGGGAUAAUAUAUUUGAGAGGCAUCUCUUAAAUAUCAAAGGUGAGCCAGUACAGGAUGGACCCGCGUCUGAUUAGCUAGUUGGUAAGGUAACGGCUUACCAAGGCGACGAUCAGUAGCCGACCUGAGAGGGUGAUCGGCCACAUUGGAACUGAGACACGGUCCAAACUCCUACGGGAGGCAGCAGUGGGGAAUAUUGCACAAUGGGCGAAAGCCUGAUG